This 259-nucleotide unclassified non-coding RNA is filed under the name Hevea brasiliensis (rubber tree). Lineage: Eukaryota; Viridiplantae; Streptophyta; Magnoliopsida; Malpighiales; Euphorbiaceae. The record is from RNAcentral.
GGAAUCAGGAACUUCGAACCCCGAAAUUAGAGUAUCCAAGAGGAAAUUGUUGAAGGACGUGAUAUAGAUUUGAGAAUCCUCCAGUUCUGUUCUUGCACGUCGCAACCGAGUUGACUCAUGAGUCGAUCAUUUCUACUCGAGUUCCUUUAAGGAAUCCGCAAUCGGUGAUUGUCAAUAGCAUGUCCAUUUACUUCGUUGGCUCUCUUGACUCGGCCGGCGUGUUACACUUCAACUUUUAAUUUAUCCGAAAGCCAAAAAC